CAGUAGCCGCGGGAAUACGUAGGAUGCGAGCGUUAAUCGGAAUUACUGGGCGUAAGGCGUGCGCAGGCGGUUGUGUAAGACAGGUGUGAAAUCCCCGGGCUUAACCUGGGAACUGCGCUUGUGACUGCACAGCUAGAGUAUGGCAGAGGGGGGUGGAAUUCCACGUGUAGCAGUGAAAUGCGUAGAGAUGUGGAGGAACACCGAUGGCGAAGGCAGCCCCCUGGGCCAAUACUGACGCUCAUGCACGAAAGCGUGGGGAGCAAACAGGAUUAGAUACCCGCGUAGUCCCUGUCUCUUAUAC
Molecule: ribosomal RNA, 301 nt
Filed under: uncultured bacterium
Lineage: Bacteria
Description: partial 16S ribosomal RNA
Rfam family: Bacterial small subunit ribosomal RNA
Source: RNAcentral